This 73-nucleotide transfer RNA is filed under the name Caerostris darwini. RNAcentral's name for it is "tRNA-Arg". It matches the Rfam family "tRNA". From Rfam's summary of the family: Transfer RNA (tRNA) molecules are approximately 80 nucleotides in length. Their secondary structure includes four short double-helical elements and three loops (D, anti-codon, and T loops). Further hydrogen bonds mediate the characteristic L-shaped molecular structure. tRNAs have two regions of fundamental functional importance: the anti-codon, which is responsible for specific mRNA codon recognition, and the 3' end, to which the tRNAs corresponding amino acid is attached (by aminoacyl-tRNA synthetases). tRNAs cope with the degeneracy of the genetic code in two manners: having more than one tRNA (with a specific anti-codon) for a particular amino acid; and 'wobble' base-pairing, i.e. permitting non-standard base-pairing at the 3rd anti-codon position. Lineage: Eukaryota; Metazoa; Arthropoda; Arachnida; Araneae; Araneidae. The record is from RNAcentral.
GGGCCAGUGGCACAACGGAUAACGCGCCUGACUGCGGAUCAGGAGAUUCCCCGUUCAAAUCCUGGCUGGCUCG